RNAcentral lists this ribosomal RNA (253 nucleotides) under uncultured bacterium. RNAcentral's name for it is "partial 16S ribosomal RNA". It matches the Rfam family "Bacterial small subunit ribosomal RNA", at positions 524 to 776 of the family's 1533-position model. The record is from RNAcentral.
UACGUAGGGUGCAAGCGUUAAUCGGAAUUACUGGGCGUAAAGCGUGCGCAGGCGGUCUUGCAAGACAGAUGUGGAAUCCCCGGGCUUAACCUGGGAACUGCAUUUGUGACUGCAAGGCUGGAGUGCGGCGGAGGGGGGUGGAAUUCCCAGUGUAGCGGUGAAAUGCGUAGAUAUUGGGAGGAACACCAGUGGCGAAGGCGGCUCACUGGACCGGUACUGACGCUGAGGCGCGAAAGCGUGGGGAGCAAACGGG